RNAcentral lists this ribosomal RNA (441 nucleotides) under uncultured bacterium. RNAcentral's name for it is "bacterial SSU rRNA". It matches the Rfam family "Bacterial small subunit ribosomal RNA", at positions 958 to 1399 of the family's 1533-position model. The record is from RNAcentral.
AACGCGAAGAACCUUACCCAGGCUCGAAAUGUAAUGGACGAUAUCAGAGAUGGUAUUUUCCGCAAGGACCGUUAUAUAGGUGCUGCAUGGCUGUCGUCAGCUCGUGCCGUGAGGUGUUGGGUUAAGUCCCGCAACGAGCGCAACCCUUAUCAUUAGUUGCCAACAUGAAAGAUGGGGACUCUAAUGAGACUGCCCGGGUUAACCGGGAGGAAGGUGAGGAUGACGUCAAGUCCGCAUGGCCCUUAUGUCUGGGGCUACACACGUGCUACAAUGGCCGGUACAGAAGGCAGCGAAACCGCGAGGUGAAGCAAAUCCGACAAAACCGGCCCCAGUUCAGAUUGUAGUCUGCAACUCGACUACAUGAAGACGGAAUUGCUAGUAAUGGCGAGUCAGCAACAUCGCCGUGAAUACGUUCCCGGGCCUUGUACACACCGACGCGUA